Molecule: long non-coding RNA, 43546 nt
Filed under: Physcomitrium patens
Lineage: Eukaryota; Viridiplantae; Streptophyta; Bryopsida; Funariales; Funariaceae
Description: long non-coding RNA (PPAT_LNC010721)
Source: RNAcentral
GGGGGAAUGUAAUACGUUUUAUUUUUUUAUUUUUUUUAUCGCAGUUUUCAAAUGCGAGCCUGAACUCGUGCUGUGUGGGUGAUCACCGACCCUUGCAUUGCGAGAUGCCGUAGUCUUCUUUUUCAUGGCGCUACAUGAUCUGUGGUCCAUCACCCAGACUGAAGAAUGGCAAUCAUCUCAGGAACACGAAUGGUGGCAGUGAGCUCAUGGCAGCAAUCAACCCAAUCGUGAUGAUCACUCGAGUCUCCGAAAUCAUAAGCUUGAAUUUGGAACACCUGUGAGAGUCACGUUCUUUUGAUUGGAAACAUGCUAUAUUUCUGCUGACUAUUUCAGCAAUUACAGCCCGCCGGGUACAAAUGUUACUUCGGCUAAUCAUAACAACGAAUCGUUGAGUGGUCAAAGUAAUAUAUUGAACUUCACCUGUGAAAGCGAAACGUGAGAUAACGUCUGGUGUACUCCAAGACUAGGGGGCUAAACAUAGUUACUGCCAGCAUUCCGUUCGCGGACACAUUACAGAGAGUACCUCUAAGAUUAUGAGUUUCUAGCUUGCAGGAGGCGAUCAAAUUAUUCUCAUGUACAAAUCUCAAACUCCCCGCCUAAGUAACUUGUUGAGUUCGAGACACAGCUCCAAGCGACCGCCAGUGUCGUACCCAAACAACUUUUGCGAGAAAAGCCCAUUAACCUGAUAAUUAAGUUUCCUGUGGCUUGGAGAGAAAGGAAAAUAAGGGGGUUUAACGAAAAAAAUAAAAACAGAAAAAUAGAAAAUCCGUUCGCGUCGGGAUGUACUUGUAACCUGUAACAACCAUGAAGUCAGGAGAGGGACGGACAAAGACCUUUACCGUCCAUGAUGGGUAUACACACCCCACGGCACAUGGAAGGUCGAGCGACAAGCAUCGUGAACAUCGUAAUUCCGGGAGUAAAAAGACCAGCGCACCUGUCACAGUCGCUCGUUGAAAUAUACACGAUGUAUACGUCUGCCGGCGCUAAUCGGGGUUACCUUUCUCGAGAUUGGAAGGCUGCCAGUGUGCGGGGGUCUAUUUGUGGAAUUAUCUGGUCCGCCAGAAUUUGAACCUAAAAGAUACACCCGUCGUUUCCAUGUAGGCAGGUCGACCAGGUCACCGCAAGCGCCAGGUUCGUGGAACGAGUGAAUACCACUAUCUCCAAGAGCCUUGAAAGCUGAAGUUACUAGCUCGAUUGCCGUUUGGACAACGGUAAUAUUGCCGUAACUGGCCGUGGAUUUUAACCACCGCGAAAUGAACGCCUAAUCUGAUUUGGCAACAUUGAACAUCUCCAUGUUCAUAUUUAUUUCAAAGAAAAGAACAGGAGGUAUCGCUGCAGAUACAGUAAUGAGAAAACGUACAUAGACACCAGCUGAUAUGCUCAUCAACUCGGUCCGGAGUUGCCGGGGUAGGGAUUGGUCAGAUGAAUCCCGUGCUUCUGACAGACCCAACUGACUCUCCCAACCUCAAAUGUGGAAGAUCCUGAAACCCACCAGUCCCGGGUUGAAUUCAACCGCAGCGUCAAUAUACUGAAGAUUCAGACCUCUGUGGUUAUCCACUCCACUGUAACAGCAACUAACUAUUCACGAAUCCUAAACUUUCACAUUAUGGCGACUGUUAAAAGUUGAUCGAUUUGCAGAAGUUUUUGUAUUUUCAAUCAUGUACAGUAAGAGAGAAAGGAUGAGAUGUACUCUGAAGCAACUGAUGUACAUUGUGGAGUAAACCAGAGCAUGUAAACCACAAGAAGGGACUCACGGUGUAAGUUACCAAUGGGUGAAAAAAAGAGGCUACACAAAUCCAGCAUCUAAGUGAAUGCUACCGCAUACAUACUGUACAUGGUAGGGAACCAGCUUAAUCGCUAUCGGUCAGAGCAGACUUGCUUCAGGAAGGACAGUAAUAGUACGGUCGGGGAUGGGAGAAAAGAACACCAUGAAGGUUGAUAAAUCCAUUGACGGAAACUGGUCUUUGGGUAGUCAAAGGCAAGUGAAGUUUGAAGAGUCUAGAGAGUCUGUCCUGCGGUGGUGGACCUUCGGUGACACAGCACAUGGCAGACCAGUGCUUCUCACGCCUGUUGCUAACGGUGUCCUUCGCUAAGCCACCUUCUGACAUCUUCGCCCCUCCCUCUCUUCCUCUCUCCCUCCCUCCCUCCCUCCCUCCCUCCCUCUCUCAUUUGUGAUAGGAAGGAUUAAUCUUUGAUUCGUCUCUGCUUCAAUCUGAGGUCGAAAAUGAGUUCAAUUUGUUGCUGUACAGGCGAAGUACACCUACACGUGCCCACGUAACCUUCUACACAUGUAAGUAAUUUCAACCGUACUAGUUGACAUUUUACCCUUUUAACCAACUUUGAUCUUCGACUUCAACAUAAUGUGAGAUUGCCAAAGGACUGUGUACACCGAAUCUUUGAAGUAUCUACCAAAGCAUCCAAAGCCUCCAUCAGGUCCCGAUCCAAAGCUGAAUUUUUACGAGACUGUUGGAAGACAUUAUGCUGGGGUGUGUGAGUGUGAAUGUGUAAGUGUGUGUGUUACAAUCAAGUCCAGGAUGGUAUCACUGCAGUACACUGAUGAGCCUCCCACUCUCUGCUGCUGGGAAUCUACCAAUCUGCCCUUGUAGUAAAACCAAGGGAACAUAUCUGGCACAUUCACACUGUCACCAGUGUCAGAAGUGCACAGUCAACAGUUUUUCGUAAACCUUGCAGCCACAGGACUGUCAUUCCGGUCAGGAGCUUGGGCCUCUCCGAAACCAUACCUGGACAGUCAAGGCAGAGCCUGCAAUAUGCUCUUUGACUCCUCCCCCUAAUGCCAGUGCGUACGAAGCAGCCUUCAUGGUUGUGGGCACUCAGGAGUUUGCUGCCAAAUCACCUCAACGAAUUGCGCUAGAUUCACACAGAUAAUAAAGCGGAACGCGUGAAGAAGAGCUGUGAAUCGUGAUUGGAAUUUCCAGAGUACUGGAAUGGUAUCCCUUGGCAAGUACUGGGGAAGAUAUGGAGUACCACCCUUUUGCUUUGAUAACAAGGCCUGUGUUGGUGAAACACAAUCAAAACAUAAGCUGGCGCAUGAUGCGUCGGUUGUGCUCGCACACAUGGGAGUGUUAUCAUUCUGCGUGCAGGAACACACGAUUGAACAAGAACCCUAAACGUCACCGACUUUGAAUCUGCACAGUAAAGUCAUGAUUCCAUGUUCUCUUUCUCUCCUUUCUUUCCUCGUUUUUCAACCUGGUUACACAACUGAUUUGGCCACCAAGGCCUCAAUCUCCAUGAAUGCGUUAGAGCUCUUCACUCCGACGCUGGAGCUCCACGGCCGGUAUGUUGUUGAAAACUGAAGGCCCACUCAGCCGCCAUAGUCAGAGGUUUCACGUUCAAUGUGCAUUAUGAAUCAAUUUGCAAGUACUGAACACUAAUUUGUACUUUGCAACCGAUUUUGGUUGGUCUCUAACACUCUGCUAAACAAGUUUAGGAUUUGUAAUAUCAAAUUUUGUUUUAGGAUUUUAGGUUGGAAAAUUAGAGAAACUUUAGAUAGAAAUUCAAAUUGUAACCAGUGGUUAUGUGGUAAUAAUCAAAAUAUUGAAGCAUAUAGGGCUUGUUAUAUUAAGUCCACUAGUUGGCACAAAAUUAUGCACAAGUUGUAUCACUCAUUAUGAACAAGAAAAGUAUAUGGUUCAAAUUGAGUCAAUGCAAUGAUCAAAUCACUCAAAUCAAGCAUGUUGGUAGAAACUUGACAAAAAUUUGAAAGAAGAUGAAGAGACUACUUUUUUUAUAAGCAAUUUAGAAGAGAAGUUUGGAUUUUCAAAAUAUUUCAAAAGUUUAUUAUGAUAGAAUUCUAAUUCUGUUUUUCAAGUUGAUUUAUAAAUAUGAAAAUAAAAUUUAAUUUAUUUGAAAUAUUUUUCAAAUUGUUAUUAAUUUUUCUGGAAGUAAAUUUUUAAAUUCAUCUUUUAAACAAAGAUUUUUAAUUUUACAAAAAAAAAUAAAAAAUAAAAAAUAGUCAUAUAUCGAGAUUAGAAUGCCUCUAAGAAAAAUUCCAAUUUUUAAUCAAAAUCCAUGUUUUAAAAAAAAUUACUAUAACUUUUUAAUUUCUACAAACCUCUUUUGAUAUAUGUAUUAUUUAAGAAUGUAUGUUAGAUUUUUCAUAGAUGUAAUUUAAGACUUUUAUAAAUCUAUGAUCAAAAUUACAAAUUUGAUAAUAUUUUAGAAAAAUUUAAAUAUAUAUUUUUUAUGAUUUGUAAGACUUUUGUUAAAUAAAUAGAUGUUUGAUAGAUAAGAUAAUUAAAAUAAUAAAGAAUAAAAAAUCUAUUAGAUGUAAUCAUCAAAUUUGUAUUGUAAUUAUUUUUAGAAGAAGUAUAUAUAUAUAUAUAUAUAUAUAUAUAUUAUAAAAAUAAAAUAAAAUAAAAUAGUAUCAAUAGAUUGAUAUUUUUUAGCUAUUGAAUUCAAAUAUUGUUUUAACACAAGUCAUAAGAUCAAAAUUAUUUAACAUUAUUUAAUUCAUAAAAUUCUAAGCAUUACUAGAUUUUGGUUGGAUUCUAAAAGCAACUACCAAUAAAUAUGAUAGCUUAUCUAAUCUACAUACAUCAACCUCAAAUAUCAAAUUUUGUUUAAACUUUUUAUAUUUUCACAUAUUCAAAAUUAAACUAUAAAAAAGUGAUAUAUUAGACAUAGUUCUUAGUCAAUCUACUUCUAAUAUAAGCUAGAAUGGCUUACAAGAAAUGAUAAUAUAUAUAUAUAUAUAUAUAUAUAUAUAUAUUUCAUUAAAACAAAAUCUCUGAAUAAAAUGAACAAUAAUAAUGAAAAAUUUAAAAUAAGUUCAAGUAUAGUACAAAAGAUGCUUUUAGAAUAGCUACUAUUGUAAAUUUAGAAGUAUAAUACCUCAAAAAACUAAUAGUCAUCUAUACUUUUUUUUAGUUAUGGAUAGAUUUGAUGUAAGCUAAGUUCUUAAAAUACAAUUUAUCUUAUAUCAAAAAUCUAUUUAAAUUCUAAAAUAUAAAAUAAAAACUAACAACCACUACUUAUUAAAAAUGUUCCACAACUUCAAACAAUUAUUAUUUUAUUUUAUUUUAUUUUAUUAUCUAUAAUAUCAAAUUAAAUAUUUUAAAUGAAACUAAAAAAUUAUUUAAAUAUGAUUUUUAAAUAAAAAAAUAAAAUAUUCUAUUAAAUUAUAGAUAAAAAUUAUUUUAAUAUAAAAAUAUAAUAUAUUUCAACCGCAACUUAUUUUGCAUUUAACUAAAGCAAGAUAAAGUUAUAAAAAAAACCUAUGAUUUUUAAUUUAUUAUUUAAAAAAAUAAUAAAUUACAAAAAUAAUUUUAUAAGGUUCUUUUGUAAUAUCCAAUAUAUUAUUAGAUAUUCUAUAUUUACAUUCUUUUAAGGAAACUUGAUCCUAUGGAUGUCAACAUUGACAUUAAUAAUUAAAAAGAUAUGAAGAAUUAAGUAGAAGUAACAUUAACCAAAUUUGAUAAUAUAUUGGAAAAAAACUUCUUAAAAACCAUGAUAAAUGCGGAUUAAACAUUACAAGUAUUUGUGGGUCAUUAAUAGUUUGAAAACUUAGCCAAUAAGUUGGCCAUUUGUUGCAAUUAUUGACCACUUAUUUUACAAAUUGGCCACAUACUGCUUAUAUUGAUUAUAUAGCAUAUAUGUAAAAAACUUGCCUUACAAAAUAGACACAUGUUUAAAAAAUUUGGACACAUGUUGAAUGAUCUAUAGAAUAUUGUCACAUAGCUCUUUAGUUAAAUAAUAUAUAUGGAAGAAAGAUUAAAGUCUUCUUUAUUCUUAUCAAUGCCUUUCUUGUAUUCUUAUCUUAGCCUAAGAAUCUGUAGUCACUUUGUAUUUAGAAAUAGCCAUUCUAGUUUCUAUCUUAUAUCUUUUUUAUUUAUAUUUUUUUAGUGUCAUAAGAAUGUAUUACUUCUUUAGAGUUUUUUUAUAAUUUAUGUACUUGAAAAUUUAACAGGAAUACUAAAUUUUUAUGCAUGUUUUAUUUUAGAAGUAAAAGAAUUAUUCUACUUUUUAUUGUUUUAUUUUAUACAUUAUUCACUAUCUACUUUUAAAAUAAUAUUUGUUUAACUUGAAUUCUUAUUUAAAGAUAGUAAAUUAUUCUUUUUUAUAAAAAAAUUGAUUUAAUAUUAGAGAUUACAAAUUAACAUCCUCUAGUUUGACUUAUGAAUUUGUUAAAAUUGUCUAUUAUAGAAAUAAAAGUAAAUAAAUUAUAGAUACUAUACUUUCUAGAUAUAAAAAUAUAUUUUUAACUAUUUUAGAUCUUUACAAGCUUGUUAGCAUACUUAGGAUAGAAAUUUUAUAUAUUUCUAAUAUUAAUUAUAGAAGUAUUAUUCUUUGCUUAUAAGAGAAAUAAAAAAUAAAGUCUAAUGUCUAUGCAAAAAAAUUAUGCAAUUGAGAGAAACAAACAAAUCAACCUCAUAAAUAAAUCCAAAAAACUUGGUUUCUAUAAAUAUAAAGAGACAAAGAUUAGUAUGCCAAAGUAGUUUGAUAGAAAAAAAUAAAUAAAAUCAAGAAUUUCUACAAUUCAAGCUCUAUUUAAGAUUAUAACUUUUCCAAUAUCCUAAUAAAUUUACUCAAAUUAAAUUUAUAAGUGUACUUUUAUCUAAGGAUGUUCUUUUCUGGUUUGUACUUUUAAUGAAAAAUGAUUCAUAAGUCAUAUAUGAUCUAAAUUCAUUCCUAGAAGUGUUUUAAAUUAUAUUUAGAGAUAAUAAUUUAAAAAAAUUACUAUAAAAAAACUCCUAUCUUUACAAUAUGAAUUACAACCAAUUACCAUCUAUGCUAUUAAAUUUCAAAACCUUGUUUGCAAUAUAGAUUGGAAUAAUAAAGCUCUUAUUAAAAAAAUUAUGAUACAUAUUAAAAGAUUAUAUUAAAUAUUUAUUAUUAUAAAUAUCAAAAAUAGACUUAUUAGAAUAUUUUAUUAUUAAAGCUAUUAUAUUUAAUAAUCAAUUCUUUGAAAGAUACCUAAAACAAAUAAUUAAUUGAAGAAGAAUAAUUCAAAUCAUGACAACAACAACUCUUAAGUUUGUAGAAAUUUUUUCAUUAAGAUUAGAACCUCUGUAAAUUGAUGCUAUAUGUUUUAAAUCUUUCACCAAGCAAAAAAGACUUAAUGUUAUAAAAAAGAAAAUAUAUAUAUAUAUAUAUAUAUAUAUAUAUACUUAUAUUAUAGAGAACCUAAACGCAUUACUCAAUAUUAUUCAAAGAAGUGAUAUAAGUACAAAAUAAAGAGUAUGAAUGUCAAUGAAGAUAAUGUGUUGAAAAAUAAAUUUGUUUAGCUAUAAUAGAGACCAUGUAGUUGAAAGCUUUCAUAAUGAAUUGGCUUUACUUAAAGAAUAUAUUGAUGAAAACUUAGCCAAAAACUUUAUAUUCUAUUUAAAAGCUCUAACAAAAGCUCCUAUCUUAUUUGUGAAGCAAAAAAUUAAUCAUUAUAGAUAUGUGUAGAUUAUCAAGGAUUCAACAAGAUUAUCAUAAAAUAUAAGUACUAUCUAUUUUUGAUAUUAAAAUUUUUUAUCAAAUAAAAUAGAAAAAACUCUAUAUAAAAAUAGUUCUAUAAUGAAUAUAUAAUAUUAUAUUAUCUUAACUUUUCAAUGCAUUUUUUUAUUUUUAUAGAAACAAAUGCAUUAGGCUUUGCCUUAGGGUAGGAUGUUGUUACCAACGGAGAACAAAUGAGAAACUCCACCUAGUAACUUUUUAUUUAAAAAAUGUUUUAAAAGCCAAGAUGAAUUAGAAGAUCUAUGAUAAAUAGGAUCUUGUAAUUAUAAUUUUAUGUUAAAAUAACUCCAUUGUUUAAGAAACAUUUCUAGUCCAUUGAUUGUUUAUAUAAAUCACAAGAACCUGAAGUAUUUUAAAUUAGCUUGCAUUAAAAAUUAUUACUAAGCUUGUUGGAAUAUGUCUUUGACAAGAUUUGUAUUUAAUAUCAGCUUUUGGCCAAAACUACAACAAGAUUUAUUAAAUGACUUAUGUGUAUUUGUAAUAUGCAUAUGACUUAGAUAAUUCAUACUUUUGUAAUAUGAAUAUAAUACAAAAUAAUUUUUUAAAAAUAGUUUAAGUUCUAAAUUAAUUAUUUAAAAUAAAUUCUUAAAUCUAUAAAUAUUAUAAGAAAUUUUUAUCUAAUUUUAAAUUUAAAUAAAAUCUAAAAAACGUCUUUUUAUACUUACCAAGUGUUAAGAACAUGAAUAUAUAGCAAUGUUCAAUGUAUUUAAUCUAUACAAAAUCUCAAUAUGAAUCGAAAUGCGGUUUUAAAAAACUUAGACAAGAGACAAAAAAACUUCACAUUUUUAAUGCAUGCAAUCUUUGUGGUACUGGUCAAUCCAAGGUUGAUACCGGAUGGUUUCUGAAAAACAACAAUUGUGGCUUGCGAGUGGGAGUGGCAAUGUGCCCAUGUGCUUGAAAUUUUUUGGAGUAUUCACUUGUAGAAAUUUCUCCAUGCUGAGGGAGAAUAUUAGAAAAAAAGAAAAAAAAAAAAGAAAAAAAAAGGUAUAUAUAUCCAUUAAAACCAUACAUUUGGAGAUUUCAUUUUUUGGUAUUCAUUAUUAGGAAGUGUAUCAAAAGCUUUUAUGCUGUACUUUAAUUUCUGUAUGGUUCAUGGCAUUGUGUUCAUUGCAGGUAAUGAAAUGGGAUCAGUUCAUUGUGCCCACAACCUGUAAAUUCAAACACAACACUGCUAAUCAUAAUCGUUAUAAACUUCUUUGAAAUUAUCAUUAAAUUAUUGUUCAUUUCAUGUAACAAAUGAUUCCAUAUCUACAUAUAUGCAUACACACACACAUUUUAAAUUGAUGUGCAAUUUUUAAGUUCCAUCACAUGAAAAAAAUGCUGAUUGAGUGAUUUCUUUGAACAUGAUCAUGAAACAAUGACAUUUAUUGAUAGUGAAUACUUCUGACAUGCAUGUGAACACUUGAUAAUUGGUAUAUUGAAAACCACACCAUGUAUACACAUGCACAAAGGAAUAUGUUUGAAAAAGCAUGUGCGUGACACCCAUUUUGGGAAUACAAUAAUGUAGCCCAUAGAGGUAGGGAUAAUUAAUGAAGAAGGUGCCACCUAAACAUCUCUUUUCACUUCACUAAAAAUGCCACUGGUUUCUUGUGGAAUAUUCUUUAUAAAGGUCAUGAAUUUGGAGAUUCUAGACAUUAAUAAGGUGUUAUAGUUGGGGGGGGACAAGGUGGGUGUAUGAAUGGAGUCAUAAUUGGUAUGCAUUGAAUAGCUUGGUUAUAUGUUACCUUGACUUCCUUCUCACUGUGUGUGAACAGAGAUAUCCCCACACAGUGAAAGGCCCACAAUGGGGUAGUGCUUAGUCUUCAGCUGAGCCUCACCCCAUCCAGUAUCUGGACCAGUCUAUUUUGCAACAUGGCCCAGCUUAUUCUCAUUUGAGAAUGAGGCCAUGCAACUGCGUCAACUUCGUGAGCUUCCCAUCUUUGUCCCUUCUUAUACCCCUUACAUAGAACAUUCUCUUACAAGAUUCUCUCGUUAUGUCAGCUUGCUCAUGGGAUUCCCGAAGGUUGUAUCCAGAGUGUUAAAAUAUGGCCCUAUUUUGAUGAUUGAAACUUGGCAAGAAAUUUUGAUACUGUUGCAUCUUAGAAUUUUCUUCAAAGUAACUCAUUGUUGCUACUUCCUCUUGGUGAAUGCAAUUGUUAUGAAGGCAAGAGUAUUUAUCCCUCUAACAUAAAAUAAAAUAAAAUAAAAGUGUGGAGGAGGAAAUUGGACCUUGUGGAACAAUGUUUCAUUUUCAUGUUCAUUUUUUUUAUUUUAUCCUCUCCCCCCUCCCCCCCCCCCCCUACCCCCCAAUUGAGUUAAGCCUCUAUUUCAUAUUAUUGGUAUGUAAGGAACAAGCAUCAUGACAAUGGAUUUUAUGUUUAAAGUGAAAUUUUGUGUUUGAAGUAUUUUUGAACUGGAAUACAAUAAACAUGUAGAGAGCACAAAAAAUAAAUGUGAUAUAACUGCUACUUGUGUCAAUGUGUAUAUUUUUAUUGCUAAAGAUCAAACUUUCAAAAGCUUGGCACAUGCAUAUUAACGCAUGGGACUAAAGUCACAGUUGAGGGAUCUGUGCUACCAUGUUAAGAAAAGCAUUGAAGAUGUUGCAGUUAUAUUUUUUUUGUAAACAAGAAAGAAUCUGUGUGGAGUCUAAUCUAAGAUUUUUGUGAGGUUUCUUACUUUGUGUGAGAGUAUAGAGUUACACUUGGUGAUGCCAAAAAGUUCCACUAGGAUUUUACAAAUUGUACUGAACAUUCCAUUCAUACAGUAAUUAAAAUUUGACUGAAUUACUACUUGUACAGUAAUUAAUAUAUGCAACAGUUCAUGUUCUUGUAUGUUUAUUGCUCCUAUUUUUUUAAUAUAUAUAUAUAUAUAUAUAUAUAUAUAAACCAACUUGUACAUAUGACAAUGCCAAGAUAUGUUCACACAAUCUCAUUCAUGUGUAUUUAAUAUUUUUUUAAACAUUGCAGCAAAUAAAAAUUUCAAAAUCAGAUAAUGGAAUAAUGUCAUUAGGUGCAUUGUAGUAGGACCACCUACAAUGACUAAGUAUUGGUGUGGUCACCAUCCGUUUUAUAUUUCAAGCAUAUGAUAAUCACCCUCUGUAAUUGUUACAUACUUAAAAAGAGAAUUAUUAUGCUCUCUAAAUCCCAUUAACUACCUAAAUCAUAAUCUUACCAAUGCAACAUGAAGCUUCAUUAAGAAUUUGCCAAAGUUUAACUAUAGCCCAACAACCAAUCCUAAAAUAAAAUCUAUAUAUACACAUAUACACACACACACACACACAGAUAUAUAUAUAUAUAUAUAUAUAUAUAUGCAGCAGCAUAUCCUUGUGCAACAACCACCAAUAGGCAUUGGUUUUAAACAACUUAGUUGCAUAAACCCAAAAUCAUGCCCCCCACCAUAUUGCUUUGUUUGACUUGAAUGAACAGUCUCAUCUAUCACCUUGACUAACUAAUAUUUCAUGGCCCAAGUGGUGUAUUGAAAGAGUAGAAAGGAUCAGGCAUGGUACAUUGUAGGAUUGUUCUUGCCUUGAUGAUAGAUUAUUUAAUGGAAACAUAUGCAAUGUCAGAGUAGGAAUAUAACUAUACACACACACACACGAAUAUUAAGAAAAAAAAAGAAAAGAAAAAGAAAGCAAAAUUGAUGAAUAAAGUGGCAAAGCUUUGUCUUUUAUCAAGUGCGAUCAAUUGCAAAAGCCCAGUAUCGAGAUAUGAGCUUUAAAUCUCUGAAUAUAUCAGUAAAAAACUUUUCAGCAACAAGUUCCUUUCUAAAACAAAAUUUUAAAAAUGUACGAGGAAUUAUUUUAAAAAACAGAAGAAAUUUGGUGACCCGAGUUUUAGUAGUUUGAAGCAUUCCAGGUUUCUUCAUAUUUUCUUAAGGCAGUCUCAUCGAAGAAUGGGUAUCUGAUAUGGGCGAAUCAAUCCUGCUAUAAUAUAUAUAUAUAUAUAUAUAUACGUACAUACAUACAUGUGUGUGUGUGCAUGUGCGCGUCAGUCUGUUGGUAGGGAAGCCACAGGAUCCAGUAAGUGCCAUGCUGGCAUUCCAAAAGGCAACGUGGAACCGGCCAAUCUCAUACUGUUUUGCCUUAAAAUAAUAAUAUGUUUUCAUGAGUAAAUAGAGAAAAAUAAUAAAAAAUCAAGGGAAUAUGAAUAAAGAAAUAUUCCUUUGGCUCAGUAAGCUUUAGUGAUUCCACCUAAGCCCACAAUUUGUGUAUACCUUUGUCUCCUAAUUGCCUUCCUUAACAAGCAAGCAGUUGUGUGCCGAUUCACAGCUGGUACAUUCAUACAACUAUUAACUAAAUGUUUAUUCUCUUUCAACAAACUAUGGGUGACACAACAUUUUUUUAUUUUAUUUUAUUUUUUCUAUAUUGUCCUCAAUUCAGAUAAUAAGAUUGAGCCAGCCUGGCAUCCACAUAGGAUUCCUUUAAUUCCACAACCUUGCGUUGUGCCUUGUAAGAGUCCAACAUGGGGUAUGUUUUGUUCACUGUUUUUUGUAAUUAAAAAAAAAAAAAAAAAAAAAAAAAACAUAUAUGAGACUUCUUCAGCUGAUAUGUGUCUGUUUCAUAUUUUAUUUUUGAAAAAUACCUUUAUUAUUAUUAUUAUUAUUAUUGCUGAAAUGAUUGUUUUUUAAUGAGUUGCUUGAAGAAAAGAUGAUAGAGGAAAUAUCAGUAAUAAUACCCACAAUUAGAUGUGUUUUCAUGAGGUCUGUCUCUAUUACUGACUACCUUUGGUUUUGAGUGCCUCAAAAAUUAUUUGGAAAAUGUUUAGAAGCUCAAGUGCAGUAAAUGAACAAAACUCAAAAUCAUCUCUACAUGAAUGAACAAAAAUUGAUUUAUAAAGUAAUGGAAAAAUUGUAAGUAGAAGUUUUGAUUUACUGUUAACAAUUAAAUCUGUUGCAUCUUUGAGUUUUUUUGGUUUUUUUUUACUAAAGCAAUAUGGGUAAUGAGGUGCCACCUUCAAGUGUCUUGUGAUUUUUUUUAUAUAUGUUUCAUUCCAUUCCAAUAAUUAUCUGAAUUUCCAGCAACGAGACCAACAAACAACCUUAGUAAAUGAUAUAUACAUAUGUAAUUUUACAGCAAUGUUAACAUGGUUAAUGAAUUAUACAAAUUGGUACUGGAUUCUACGAGUAACAUACUGUGUGAAUUUUUAAAGGGAUUUUGCACUGCAAUUUUUUUUUUAAAAUGAUUUUAAUCAAUACUUGCCAUUCAGAUCCCAACCCAUGCGCAGAAAAUUUCACAUAACUGAACACAUUAUCAAAAAGCAAAGUGAGAAUCGAAAGGAUCUUCUGAUAACACCAAUACUACUUAAAGUCAAAGUUAAUUGGAACUGAAAAAUUUUCAUUGUUUCUUUUUGGAUACUGACAAAAAAAGGAAUUUAUUUAUUGCAAGGUGAGAAGCAAGACAACAUUAUAGAAAUUUAAUUCCACAGUUUGUCAUUAUCUAAAAUUGAUACAAUUGGAGUUGGGAAAAAGUACAUAUAUGUGAAUUAAUAAAUCUUAUUUACUACUGAUAAUCUUCAAAUGUUGUAAUCUUUUAUUAUUAUCUGCACGAAAUAUCUUGUAAUGAGUAAGAUACAUAGGAACCAGUAAAGAAUAAAUUGACAUUAUUUUAUAUUUCUUGAAGUAUAUAAGACUAAUUUAAUAAAUGCUUCAAUGGACUAUAGAGAAGAUGACUAGAAACGAAAGAUAGAGAAAAUGUAGGCAUUCAACAAUUACAUAGCAUUAUUCUUAUCAGAAAAUGAAAAGAAAUGAACACUUUUUAAAAACAAAAUAAUUUUGAUAAAUAAAUAAAUAAAUAAAUAAAAGAUUUAUUCUUUUUCUCCCUACUGUAUGUGAAUACUAAUACAGGUUAACACCAUUCUAAAGUGGUAAACAAUAGCAUCUUUGGGCUUUUGUAGCUUGGACAUAAAUUAUUUCUAUUCUAUUACCAUAUUGGAAAUGUCUAACUGUUAAAAUUUAAGAAUACCAUAAAGGUAUUGCUAAUACAUGUAGGUGAGUGUAUAUAUAGUCACACACACAUAAAUGAAAAAUUGUGUCAUUGAACAUAAAAGUAGCUUUUAUGUAUUUUGAUUUAGUUUUGCUUCAGAAUAGUUACAAUUGAUACUUUUUGAUUUGGAUUUUGAAAACAUACCUUGUGAACGUAAUGCAGACUAUGAUUAUUACUCUCUUGUGUCACAGACAUCUCAUAUAAACUUUAAUGCUAUAGUGUGUACUUUGAAAGAGGGACAUGACUCUUUUGUGAAUUAUUUCGAUUAUUUAUUGCAUUUGAGUAAGAUAAUUCAGCAAGGUUAACCAAGUGGAGAGCACUUCACGAAGAGAAAUGGGAGAAGAGGUCCAACAAACAAACAAGAGUUUUCUCAUGAGAAAGACAUCGAUAUCUGGCAGUCUUGUUAUCUGGGAAUUCCAAAGCUUGUGAAUCAGUGGUGUCGACGGGCCUCGGCCGCCAUGAAUCAGCGUGGGGUUGCAAAAUGGAGGAGGAGGGAGGGGGUGUGAAGCGGGGAUCACAUCCCAACCCAGAAUCACAGUCAAAUCUGGUCCUUCGCUCGCUCGUCUGUUUGAUUAAUUGUUGGUUGGUUGGUUGGCCUGGCAGUGACAAAGUCAGUGGGUAUCCAUCGUCGUCCGCUCUUUUCCGCUGCGUGCCGACGAUCUGCUCAGCGCAGAGCGACCAGGAAGCAACGACUUUGAAUGUCGCCCAACGGAGUCCCCCCUCCCCUCCUCACCCCCCGGUUAGCUGCGAUGGGCCCCCGCUGGGGCAGUGCCCAUGCCGAGAUUGCAUCGACUACGCAACAUCGGGCUGCGACAUAAGCUCUGCCUACUACAAGCCCAUUCUUCUAAUGUGGCGCACCGGGGCUGUUGCGGGCUGAGAGAGGGCACCAGCCUGCUUCUGCUGCUCCUGCUGCUUUGGCAGCGGCGGUGGGCUUUUCUCCACUGCAGACGCGGAUUCUCGCAUCCGUCGCCAACGCUGCACAUGCAGCUUCUGGCAUGUCGGGUCGUAGCACUGCUGCCAGUUUAUAAAUUUGAUUUUGUAUUAGUAUGAUUAUUAUUAUUAUUAUUAUUAUUAUUUUGUAUUUGUACUUGUGUUUUUGUUGUAUGUGUGUGUGUGUUGUUUGUUAUCGUGAUCGUUGUCUCGCACCCAGCAUAGCAUUGCAUUGCAAUCCGCAUCGGUCGUAUGAUCAGGCAUCGAUUGAGGUCGAGGUUCUUCAUUCGACCUCUUUCGAUUCUCGCAUCCCUGCAGUAAUCAGUAAUGGCCGAUCCAUACAAACCCAAAAGGAGGAAGGGAGGAUGUAGACACACUUAUGUAUAUAUACGUCCAAAUGAACAAAUGAAAAUUACAACCUAUCAAUGCUAUAGUCUACACAAAUAUAACAAAGAAGGUGAUUCUAAAUAUUACAGUUUUAUCUCUGUUUGAAUGAAUAUUUUAUAAUAUACUGAAUAAUUUAAAUAGUAUAUUUUAUUCUUUUUUGUGUAUUCAAAAUUUAUAAAGUAAAGCUGGAAGUUAGAGAUUACUAAAUUAAGUGAAUUUGAAAAAAAUAAUUGUUUCGUAUUGAUUUUUUUUUUUUUUUUUUUUGACAAAAACCAAAAUGAAACAAGUAAGCAUUUUUUUUGUAUCUAUGCAAAAGAAAAAUAGAAACAUUUAUGUUCAUGAACAUCUUUAAUAUUAUACUUUUUGGAAGAUGAAAGGAAGAAGAGAAAAAUGAUAUAAAUCACCACCAAUUUCUAUAAAAAUAACCACCAGUAUGAUUUACAGGUAGCUUACUGAAAAAUUAAAAAGUAAAUCAAAUGAUAAAAAGAAAAAGAAGAAAUAAAACCCAUGUAGACAGAAAUAUUUCCACUUUAGACAUUGUUCUAAGACACAAAAUAGAUGCAAAAUGAAUGAAUAGGGUCAUAAGAUCAUCCAAGAGUAAGUCUUGCAUAAUUAAAAUAUUAAUUAGGUUUUUACUAAAAAAAUUAAAUCUUUGAAUUUUCAGUAACAAGUUUCUUGUUUAAUUUUUAAUUUAAGAAUAACAACAACAGUAGAAGAAUCAAAAAAUAUUCUUGUUAUCUGAUUAAAAGAAAUAAAGUGAAAACUUGAUUUCAGAUCAAACAGUUAUCAUUAGAUCUUUUUGUACAAGUUUCCAAUCAAAAUUACAAGUAAUACUAUAUAUAUAUAUAUAUAUAUAUAUGUGUGUGUGUGUGUGUGUGUGUGUGUGUGUUUUUAAAAACUAAAAAAGAUUAAAAAUUCACCAAUUUAAGUAGCUCAUUAAAUAGGCAUUAAUUACUGUUUAUUUUAUUUUCUAAAAAAAUUUUCGAAAAAAAAGACUCAAAAAAAUUGCAAUGGGUAGAGGAUAUCCAAUAGAACAGCAACCUGUUCGGAUGCAAAUUUUUCACGUAUCAUUCACAGACGCACUCUUCCUGCAUUACAAAUCACACAUGCAGUCAUACACACCUCUACACGUGUUAUUUGAUUUAGGUUUUACUGUUCCUUUCGUUUUACUGUUUAUUUCGUUCACCCUUGAGUUCGGUGCAAGGUCAUACAAAUGGUGGUGGCUCUCUGUACUCCUCCAAGUAUCGGAUGCCAAGCUCCUUUGUAGCUGCAACAUUUGCAAGCCAUUGGCUUUUCUUCACUAGUACAGAGAUAUGUGUGAAAAUUGAAUCUCACAGAAGGGACGGGUUCUCAAUGAUUGGGGUGUUGCCAUUUGGGACCACAUGAGCACAUGAAAAUUGUUGAUAGUAUUCUUUUGCUUCUAUGAUGCUCUGUAAGGUAUAGCAGAAGUGUGUGUGUUUAACACUCGUUGCAGUACACUAGUACAAAGCUCAUUUCUCAUCAUAUCCUAAAGAAAAGAAAAGAAAAACCUUCAUGUCAUGCUGCAAGGACAGCUGCUUUGUGGAGUUCCCUAAAACUCAAAAACUCAAACUCACGUCCUGGUUAGUUAAUGAAGAAUUUUCUCACCAGUUCUUUACAGAAAUUACAGUUGAUGUCGAACCGAGGUUAUAAGCCAUCGUGCUGAAGCGAUCGGAUCGACGUAGUAAAUCACAGAAGACGGGGUUGAUAACAGAAUUCAGAACAGAUACUUGAUGUUAUUACUAUUAUUACUAUGAACUCAUCUAAGAAUAUAUCACCGGAUUGGCUAUGAAAUCUCAUUUUUGUUGUGUCAGCAUUGACGCAGCAACAGGGAAGAAUCUGACAACAAGCAGAAGUGGUGGCCAUCGACAUGUUGUAUGCAAUAUAAAAACUUGGCGCAAAUGAAUGGUGUUUCGUCGUUCUGGACAAUACACUCACAAUCAACCGUUGGUUUCAUCCGUAUCAGAAAGAAAACAAAGUAGGGGGAGAGAGAGAGAGAGAGAGAGAGAGAGCACAUAAUACGACUUGAAUCGUGGACCAGAAUUUUUUAGAAGGAAAUUUGUCAUUCCAUGUUGGUUGGGUAGCUACUGGUAAUAAGUCCAUUUCUGGAAAGUGGGAUAACGUGCACAUGGAGGUUCUACUUUUUCAAAUGGAAAUAAAUUUUGCAAGGCUGAGGUAAUAGCAUUUCUUCAAUUCCCAAGGUAGAGUGGGUGGGAGUUUCAUGAGGCGCUGUCCUAAGGGUCGCCACAGGCUUGUUGCAAGCGAGUGAAUUCAACGCAAGGGUAGUUCUUCACAUGAAUCACCUCAAUCAGUGGGAGGGGCAAAAGGAUACAAAUAGGCCUGGCAGGAUCCUGUAAAGUUCCGGAGUAUCACGUGAGGGAAAAGCCUGCUGCAAAGGUAGAGGAUGCUAUAAUCAGACAGUGGGUCCAUGUGCAGAUUAAUUCUGGUGACAAGUGAAAUGAAUCUUCCAAUCUUGUUAGAAAAAGGGAUGGAGAUUUGAUUCCGUCGUGUAGUUCCGAAUUCCCAUCCAAGCGCACGCAGUUUGUGGAUGUUCCUGUCAGGGCGGUAGGCCCGCCUCCAACAUGCCAUCCUCAUCUCCCUAUCCAAGUGAUCCUCGAUCCCACCUCAUGCUAGAUUUCAGUGCACAGAGCCCAAUGUGAGAGGGACCCAGCUAGUCUCUCCAACAGAAGUCUACCAUAGGCUUUCAAGAUUCUUCACACCAGGCGAAGUCCACAGCCAGGCUGCAACGAUCCCUCCCAAACCGGGUAGUCCAGAUUUUCUUCUCUCUCGAGACAAAUCCACUUAUCCAGGCUCCUCCAUUCCUCCUCCACUCAGUAACAUUGACUGCUACACAACGCCCCGUUCUAUCAAGGCUUCUACUAUCUUUGACGCUCGAGCGCUGAUCGUAGCAAGCGCCUGGAGCCCAUGCGGAGGGUGAUGGACCUCUGAUCAAGGGCACUCCGGAUCAGUCCAUCUAGAUAAUCCACCCCGCGUUGUGUUCCAAUCAUGCAUUGCGGGAGAAGCCCCAGUUUACGGGCAGCUGAUCGAUCACAUUUCGGUACUGUCACAGUGUAAAAGACCAAAGCUGGAGGAUCGAAGAGCUCUGCCACUCUUGCCUUUCAAGUCUAGGACCAGCUCCGGCCAAGAGCAAAAAACCAGAACCGGCGUGGGGUUGGGUGUUGUAGAUUCGCCUUCAAAACUAGCUGUGGCUGCUGCAGUUGCUGUAGUUGCAUGGACUUUGCAGGUGUGCUUGGCAUCGGUGCAGAGUGCCCAUGUGAAACAUCAAUGCCUUUGCUGGUGCUGAAGCUGGAAGUCCAUAUUCCCAUGUCGAAUGGAAUCAUGGGAUGUUGUGCCCCAACCAACGGUAUUGUCAAUGCUUCCCUCGACGCCAAACAAAGCAACGCAGAUGUGAAACAUUUCCUGCAGCAGGAGAAACAGAAAAAGAAGAAGAUCUCAAUCUGCCAUAUCCAGAUGAUAUGCACAUUCCCACCCACAGUGCAUGUCAGAAUUACUCACCAUGCAAGCAGGAAUUGCCGUUACAGGUCCACUGAUACAUCUCUAUUUCACACACACACACACAUAUAUAUAUAUAUAUAUAUAUGUAUGUAUGAAAUUAAUUCCUCCCUGUAUAUGCAUUUACUUGUGUAGUUCUUUCAUGUUGUUCAAGUCAAACUAAUGUUGUUGUUUUUUGUUUGAGUUAAAAACCUCAUUUGUGCAUGUUCUAGGUAUAACUAUUUAAAGCAUCCUAUGCAUGUUUAUAUAAACAGGUUAUGGUAAUACCUGAAAUAAUUAUUAUAUGAUGUUAUUGGGAAUUUGUCAAAUGUUAUGAAAGCAUAUAUUAUGAAGUUACUAUCUAUUAUGAAGUUAGAAAUAUACAUUUAUUCUAUAUAUACCAAAGUGCCUUUUCAAUAUAGGCUCAAUUUCUUUAUAUUAGAAUAUUUUUUGAGUUGAGAAUAAAAAUUGGAUACACUGAAAAAAAAGGUAUCCACGCUAAGGUUGAACUUACACUAGUAGGAAUUAACAGAUAGUCAAAUCUUAAUCCACACAUCUUUUUUUUUUAUUAUAUAUAAAAAAAUUUGGACUUUUUUGUAGAAUUAUAGAAUAAAAUCAAAGUCAAUUAUUAUACUAAAAUUAAAUAAAAUUAAGAAUAUUUUUUCUUCAAUCCAACCAAGUUGUUAGAGGUCAAUAAUGAAUCAAGUGACAAGACCACUAUAAAAAUUUACUCCUAACUGUUUUGGAUAUAGAUUAUUUUAAAAAAUAUAUUUAUCAAGUAAUUUUAAUUUAAUUAAUUUUAAAAUAUAGAAAUCAAAGUCAGGCCCUUAAUUAAGAAAAAAAUGGAUGUUUUUUUAGUUAAGUCAAAUUUUAUUUAUACAUUUAUAAGUUGAUAGUAUUAAGUUUUAAAUUUAAUGACAUAAUUUUUUCUAUAGCAUUCAAUAAAUUUAAUAAAUAUCUUAAUAAGCUAAAAAUAGGAGGUAGGUCAAGUCAAAAUCCAAAAAUAAGGAGUUCACAAAAUUGGCACACCCAUGUAACCUCCCUCUUACAAGUCCUAAAUCCUAUGCAAAUCCUAGAUCCUAAACCACUUCCUAUUCACACUUGUUUUUUUUUGGAAACCUCAUAUCUCCUAAAGUAUAGUCUUAUUGGAGAUUUUAAACAUAAAAAGAUACUUAUAUAUAGUCAAUUAUUCCACUAAUUAGAGAUAUUUGAAUAUAAUUGUAAUAUUAAUAUAUAUUUUUAAUUAUUAUAAAAAUUUAUUAUUUUUAAUAAAAUAGAGUAUAUAAUUUAAUAUAUUAAAUAGAAUAAGAUCAUUAAAAUAUUCAUAAUAGAAAUAAAACAUAUCCUUAUAAAUUUUCUAUGUAUCAUAUUAAAUUUAAAAUAUUAUUUUUUGUAGAAUUUUAUAUAUAAUUUUUUAAAUAUAAGUUCUUUUAAUUAAGAAAUUUAAUAAAUUUUAUUUUAUUUUAAAAAUGAUUUAUUAUAAAUUUUAUUUUAUUUUAAAAAUGAUUUAUUAUAAAUAUUUAUAUUUUAAAAAUCUAAUAAAUUUAAAUAAUUAAUAGUUGUGUUUAUAUAUAAGAAAUUCUUAAGAUAAUUAUUUCACUAAAUAAAUCUUAUUUGUACUUCAAAUAUGUUCAAUAUUAUUUCUAAUUUAUAUAUAUAAAAAAUAUUAUUUAUAAUUUUUUUAUAUAUGAAAUUUUAUUUAUUAUUUUUAUCAUUUCAUAAAUAUCUAAUACUAAAAAAAUUCAAAUAAAAAUAUAUAAUAAAGCAUAAAAUUUGCAUUAAGUAGCAUAGAUUGCUAAAGAAGAUAUAUUUAGAAUAAAUUGUAUUAAAUCUAAGUACAUAAGUUGAUAAAAGAGAAAUUAGUUAAAAAAGAUGUAUGAGGUAAUAUUUUAAAUUAUGAUAAAAAUAAACUAUUUUAUAAAAAACUAAAAAAAUAUGUGUAAUGGGUAGUGUAUUGCAAUAGUAGUAGCAAAAGCUGUAGUAGUGUGAGUCACCAAAACAAUGCACAUAUUCUAUUUGAACUAAAUCAAUGUGAUUAGGAUGCCAAGUGCUAAUAUUUAGAUGAAGAAUUAAGUUAGAAGAGCUAGAUAUGAAUAAAAUAGUAUUAAGAAAUAAAAUAUGAUUAGUAUAAAAAAUCUAAUAUAAAUUUCUAUAUAGAAAUCAUCUUAGAAUGCAUCAAUUGAAUAUCUUUGAUAUCUCUAGAGUAUCUAAAAAAAAUCUAAUCAAUUCAAGUUUCUAAUAUUAUAUGGUAGUAUAUAGUUUCAAUGCAAUGUUAUAUAUAGUCAAAAUAUAAUCUUUACAUGAAUUGGUAUAUAAUAAAAUAUAAUUUUAUAUGAGUUAGAUAAAUAUCCAUAAGAUCAAGUACAAACUAUCAAUAGGAUAUUGAUGGGCCAAAUAUUAACAUCCAAAUAUCAAGUUGGCCAUUACAGGCCUCUAAAUUGCCAAAGGAGGUUUGGCUCAGGCCCAAGACCCUGCCUCUUUUUCUUCUUCUUCUUCUCUAUUUUUUUAGGUGUUGUAUUUUGCAAGAGCUCCAGAACACCAAGUGGUUGUGGCUAAAGUGGUAUUAUAUUAGCUAAGCUCAAGUAUUCAUCAAUUUCAUGCAAUGGUAUUCUUGGAUAUUAUAUUAUUUUGUUGAUUUUGUUCUAUAGUAUGGAUUCAAUCAAUUCUCAUAUGGUUAUAUUCGUUUGUGAAGAAAAAUUCUUUGUAGUCAAAUAGUAUAUAUAUAUAUUUUUUUUUUCUUGGUGUAGUAUAGUGAAAAGGCUUACAAUUUGACACUCAUAUUGCAAUUGGAUCAAUGCCAAAUCUAAUCCUUCUUUAAGGUGUCACAUACACAUUGGACUCUCAAUCAAUUGUCUUAUAGAAUUUUGGACACAAAAUUGCAGCUCAUACAAGGAUGUAUGCUAGUUAUGAGGCUUGCAUAAAAAAAUAUUAGGAUCAAUCAUAGCUUGCCUUAUGACAAUCCAUCUUGAUUGUGGAAUUGCUAAUAUUAAUGUAGCAUGACUAAGAUAUGCUAAUGUAAUAAUCUAUAGCAACGAAGAAGUGUCAAAAUUGUAACAUCCUUAGUUCAAUGUGGAAUCUAUAGCAAUGUAUAUUGUUAGUUGAAAUUAGAAUAGACUUAAAUCUAGCUUUUUUUUGAAUAUGGUGGAGGUUUCUAAGAGUCAAUUCCAAUUGCAAAGACUAAUAAAGUGAAAAUUGGUGAUUCUUAUAAGCACAAUAAAUUGAGCCUUGGUUGGGUUUCAAAAUUAAAGGCUCCAAUGUCAACAAGUCCAUGGUUGAUAGAUAUAGAAUACAACGACAAAGAGCCUCUUGGAUCAGGAGGCAUCAUAGGAAGGAGAUGUUGGCCAUUAAGCUCUAUAUCAAGAAAACCAUAUUAAGAAAAUUUAGACCAUGGAAUUGUGAGUAUUUUGUUAUAUUGUAACAUCUCCAAUCUUAAGACCUUUGGAAUCUUAUAGAAGAAUUGGAACCAAUUUAACAAAUAAGUAGACACAAUUAAUUAAUAUUAAGAGUAAUUGAAGGAUGCUUUAUGAAUUAGGUUAAAGUUAAAUAAAUUAUGUUAAUUUUGGAUGAAUUAUUAUAGAUAAAAAAAUAUUCUAUUAGAUGGAAAAUUAUUCUAAGAUGAAUAUUUAUUCAUGGAUGAUAAAUCAAUUAUAGACAAAUUUUUUCUUUGGAUGAACUUUUAAUUUAGAAUAUUUUAUUUUAUUUAUUAAAUAAAAUAAAGUAAAAUAAUAAUAAAAUAAAAUAAAUUCAUACAAAAAAUUUCUUUCAAUUGUGUAUAUGGUUUUUAUUUAUUAAGUAGCUUGCAUUAUGGUUUUAAAUUUGGAUGUGUGAAUUUUAAUUAGUUAAAAAAAUUCAAGUUCUUUAGUAAGAAGAAAGAGAAAAUUUUAUUUAAUUGUUCUCUUAGAUAAUUAGUAAUUUUGAACUAAAAGAAUUUACCUACUAAAAGACUUAUUCUAGCUUACAAUAGGAAGAAUUAUUAGAAUUAUUGGAUACAAAUCAAAUACUAAUUGGAAUAUAUUACAAUUUUUAGAAAAUUAAAUUAUAGUGAGUUAAGAUAGACUUUCAAUUAGUAGGGGUUUAUUUUAGUUUACAUGUAGCAUUAGAAAUAUAUAUAUAUAUAUAUAUAUAUAUAUAUAUAAAUUUUUUAUCUUAAAUAAUAAUAUUAAAUUACAAAAAUUCUUUUGAAGAAUUUUAAUAAAACUACCAAAACUAUUUAUUAAAAUUGAUUCCAAAUUAAAUUAUUUUUAUAAAUAUUAUUAUUUAAUUAUUAAAUAUUAAAAUUAAUAAAUAUAUUAAAAUUUUAUUAUUAUGAUAUAAUAAAUAAAUAAAAAAACUUAUAGUCUUAUAAUAUUUUAAAAUAUCUUAGGUGAUGAAAAACAAAAUCAAUUAUAAAGGUUGCAAAAAAUAGUCCUUUAUGGUAUCAAUACGCAAUAUUAGGCCAUCAAUAUAAUAGGAUGUAGAUAAGAUAUUUGUAUUAUUGACACAUAGGGAUAGAUAAUUAAAACCAUGGAAGUUUUUAGAAUUAAGAUUAGUUUAGUAGAUUAGGUAGGAUCCAUCGUAGAAUAUUUUAGAAAGAGUUUAGGAUAAUUAUUUAGAUGGAAUUCACCACUAAAUCUUCUAAAAGGAGUUUAAGGCAGAUAUCUAAAUAGAGUCCAUCAUUUAGGAACAUUCAAGAAAGUCUACGGUAAUAGAAUAAAAUAUAAAUAAGACUUACUAGAGCCUUUUGAGGCAUUUAGUUAGGUAUGGCUUCAAACCCUUUUUCUUAAUACAAUUGAAUUUUAUAUCUUCUUAUUUUUUUCUAUUUUUUUUCAAUUUUGAUUGCUUAAUUUUAUCUUUUAUGUCUCAUUUUUUUUUAGUUUUGUUCAAUUUAUUCUAGUCCAAUUUGUCCUAUUUUGUGAUGAGGUUUUAUGUUGUUGUGGAUUAGAAAGGUCUUGAAUACUUGAGAUAGACUAGUCCUAUUUUAUUAGUAUUAGAAUGAGUAUUAGAUUAUUUUAUUGAUAUUAGAAUGAGUGCUGAUAGUCAUCAUCUAGUCUUAGGUCAGUUGUAGUAGUUACAAUGGAUACUGUCUUGAGGCUACUACAAGCUAUUCUUAAAAAAUCAACUAAGAAGUAAAAAGGCAUUACAAUAGUAGAGUCUAAUAGAGAAAUUAUAAUAAAGGUGCCGAGGGCCAGUAGUAGGAUUCAUUACUAUCUUUUAGAAACAAAUGGUAUGGCCUCGAAUAACUAGAAAAGAAUAGAUUGGUACAUCUAAUGGAACUACUAAGAGGACAACCAUAUCAAAUAUUUAUAGAUUGUGGCUCUACAAAAAAUUAUAUAUCAACUAAAAUUAUUAACCAACUUAGAAUUAAAACCAAGGUAAUUAAUAGAGGAAGUAUAUAACUCACGAAUAUAUGCAUAUAAGCUAGUAAUUACAUAUAUAAAUAAAUAGAAAUAAAUAAAAGUAGGUAAAAGUAAAUUAAUUCUACAAUAUUUGCUAUGAAAGCUUCUUAGAAGCUCUAUAGAUGCUGCUUUGACUUUAUAGGUGUCUUUAAUUGACUUUUUGGAUUAAAAACGUGGUCAACAAGUUGGCCAUGUACCACACAUGUUGUUAGCUUGAAGACCAAGCUAACUAUGUGGCCCCUACGUAGAAAAACUUGCGUUAUAAGUCAAAGCAUGUGUCCUACAAAGUCAACAUAUAUUGGAGGUCCUACAGAACAUCGCCACAUAGCCCCUAGUUAGAUAGUAUAGAUAGAGAUAAGAGUGAAGUCUUCUUCACUCUUGUCAACUCUUUUCUUGCUUCUAGUCUAGUCUCAAGGGUCUCUAGUUUUCUUGUCUUUUGGCAAUAGCCAUUCUAGUUUCUUUCUUAAUAUACAUAUCAAGUUAUUUCUAUUUUUUCAUCUUUCUUUAAGAAAAGUCUCACUUAUUUAUCUAUUUUUAUCAAGUUCUUGUCCUUGAUAGAUUGACAAGAGUAUACUUACAAUAUCAGAGCUUUAUCUAAUCAUGAUUAAGAGUAGAUUAUCUCUUUCUCUUAAUAAGACAUAAUCAUAUUAGAAGUUGCAGAUUACCUUCUUCUAAACUGAUAUUAUCUUUAGUAUUUUCUUUGUUUUUAAGUCCUCUCUUCUAUUUGUCUUGAGUGAUAUUAUGCAUCUUUUCUAUUUUGAGUGUUAUCAUGGUAGAACUUGUUGAAAUAAAGAGUGCAAUGGCACAAAUAUAAGAGCAAUUGAGGAAGUUAAUGCUUACAAUGCAUCAACUCAAUUUACCACCACAAAGAGCAACAAGAUUGACAAGAAGUAAAGAUAUAGAAAUGAUUAGAGCUGCUUCAACAUCUGCAUCAAAUCAUGUCCCUUCUCUUAUAGUGGAACGCCCUUCCAAUGUUAUAGAACCUAGAAUUCUCCUACCCAAGAAGUUUGAUGGCAUCAGAUCAAAGUUUAGAGGAUUUAUAAAUCAAGUAUAACUUGUGAUUUAACUUCAAUCACAAAGCUAUCCAAGUCCAAGAUCACAAGUUAAAUUCAUUGGUAUGCUUCUUUCAAGUUCAGCAUUAUGAUAAUUUUUAUCUUUUCUUGAACGACAAGAUCCAAUAUUGGAUAAUCUAGAGGAUUUUUUGGCAAAGUUUUGAUCCAUGUAUGGAAAACAUGAUGCAAUUCGUGUUGCAACCAAUAAGAUCCAUAUUUUGCAACAAGGCAAUCGAUCAGUAACGUUGUAUGCUUUACAAUUUUGAUAACUUGCAACUGAUAUCAAGUGGGAUGAUGCUACACUUAUUAACCAAUUUUCCUAUGGAUUACAAUAUGAGGUAAAAAAAUUAAUGCUUAACUUACCUGAUCCUCAAAAAUUGAGUCAAGCAAUUGACUUUGUUGUGAAGUGCAACAAUCAUCUUUUUGAAUUUUGAUUUAAGAACCAUACUAGUAGAUCUCAACAUUACUAUAAUUAAAUGGCAAUACCAACAUGUAUUCAAUACAUACAUUCGGAAAUAGAGGAUAUGCAAAUCGAUGCAUUGCAUUUCAAAUCUCUUAUUGAACAAGAAAAGACUCAUCAUCAUGAGGAAGGAUUGUGCUUGUAUUGUGGAGAGUCUAAGCACAUUAUUCAACAUUGCUCAAAGAAGUGACACAACUAUAAAAUGAGGAGUACGGUGAUCAAAAAAGAUAGCAUGUCGGAAAAGAAAUUUGUCUAGCUACAAUAGAGACCCUGAGGUUGGAACCUUGUACAACAUCUAGUGAAGGUCCUAUUCUCUCCUCAGAACCCUCUCCAUGUUUCACGAUAAAUGUUAUUCUAAGACCUAAAUAUCACAAAGCCUAUGCCUUGGUAGAUUCAAGAGCCUCAACAUGUUUCUUAGAUGAAGAAUUUGCUAAAAGACAUAGCAUACUUUUAGUGAAGAAAGCUAAACUUGUUCAUGUAGAAGUCAUAGAUGGUCGUUCAUUAUCUUUGAAAGAUGUUACUCAUGAAAUCCUUCUCAUAGAAGUAGUAACUAAUGGUCAUAGUAGCUUUGUAAUAUUUAAUAUCAUUAGAUCUCUCUCUAAUUCAAUCAUUUUAGAUUUAUCAUAGCUAGAAAAAUAUAAUCCUAAAAUAGAUUGGACUUCUCAUAGUCUUGACUUUUGUGAAAGUAUAACUAAGAAUGUACUUAAUCAAGUAGAAAGUCAUAAGUCUAGUACAAUUAAACUUGUAUUUGUAGGUGCAAGAGCUUUCUUACAUGCUGCAAAAGUAGGAUCACCUUGCGUCAUUUAUGCCACACUUGUUUCUACUGGUGGAAAGACUUCAAAAGGCAUUCCAAGCCAAUAUCAAGAUUUUUAUGUUGACUUCUUAGGAUACAUCAUUUCAAAUGAUGGACUUAUGAUGGAUCCUAAGAAAAUUCAAACUAUUAUGGAUUGAAAGAUGUCAAAAACGGUAAGAGAUGUCCAAUGCUUUUUAGAAUUUGCCAACUAUUAUCGGAUCUUCAUCAAAGACUUAUUUCAAAAUGUAGCUCCACUUACAUGUUUGACUUGUAAAAAAAAAUUUCAAUGGAAUCAAGAAGCGGAAGUAACAUUUGAAGCUUUGAAGACAACCUUUGUUUCUGCACCAAUCUUGUAUCACGUUGAUUUUUUUUAAGCCAUUUUUCAUGAAAAUAGAUGCAUCAGACUUUGCUUUGAGUGCCAUACUGUCAUAAAUGGAAAUAAAUGAUAAACUUCAUCCAAUAGCUUUUCAUUUCAUAAAUUUUCAACAGUCGAGAUCAAUUACGAGAUCCACGAUAAAGAACUUCUUAUAAUUAUGGAUUUGUUUCAAAAAUGGCGCCAUUAUCUAGAAGGUGCUUCUAGCCCAACUACCAUUGUCAUUUUGUAACAUGUCUAUAUGAUGAAAAUAUAAAUGAAGAAGAUUUAUUAAUAUUUAGUCACCUUGGAUGUUAGAAGCGGUGGCCAAUUCUAGUGCAAAUAUUGAGAGGCCAGGUUCAGUUACCCCGUUACAAUCAGUCGGGGCAUACUUACCAGUAACAAAAUGCUCCGUUCGAUUCCAAUAACGGGAGUCAGCAGAAAAGGGAAAUUAUCAAUUCAACGACGAGUGAGCCUGGUUCGAAGAGCCAAUUGGAUCCAAUUUCAAAAGACUUCUAAUCUAGGUCCUAUUAUGCACUUCUUAUCUAGUAUGAGACCUGGCUUGGUCGGGCAACCCAAUGUGAUCCAAUUACGGGGCUUUGAUUCCGUUUCAGGCUGUUCCAUUCUUUGUGCCGUUCCAAGAAUGUCCUUUCUGCAAAAAGAUCUCUUAAAGGUAAAAAUGGGGGAGAAAAAGCGAGGUCAUCUGUUCUAAUUCGGAGAGUCUAAGACAAAAGAAUAGGAUCUUCUCAGGAUAAAAGAGGAGGGUAUGUUAAGAAAUGGUUUUUUUUCAAGAAUCGAGGUUUUUAGGUUGGAGAACUAGCUUCAUGCUUUUGGAAAGAAGACAAAGAAUUGGGGUUUUUUUUUCUAUAGGGUUUUGGGAAGACUGAGAAGAGGAUUGCUGAAAGUCAGUAAUAUAUUGAUGAACAAGAUUUUUCCAGAAAGAAGAAAAGGCUGGUACUCUUGAUUGUUGAUGGAAUGGGAGAUACUUCUGUGGUUGAAAUUCAGAGUUGUCUAGAAGGUUGAGUAUACUGAAUGCAUGCAUGGUUGUGUUAAUCUGACUGUACGGAUAGAGGAUACCUGCCAAUAGUUUAAAGAGGUAUUGGGAGUUGGCAAAUUGGAGGUUGUUUAAGAUUUCUGUGAUAACUGGGGACCUACCGACAUGGAAAAGAGGAAUAUCGGCGAGCGGCUAAGGGACACGGAUGCGGAUUGUAACAUAGCCUCACAAUCUGUAAGCCGGUUUGAACUGGAACUUCUUGAGCAUUCAAAAGGGCUUAUAGAGACACUAGCGAUAGAUGUUUCAAAAUAAGUCGGAAGGAUAGAUUGAGGAUCAUAGCUUGUCGAAGUUUACGGUCUAGGAUUAAGGUAAUUAACAAUAAAGAUAAAAUAAAAAACAUAAAAUAAAUAAAAUAAAAUAAAAAUAACAAAAGAGAUUGAAGUUAUAUAGGGUCUCUAGGCAUUUUAUAUUGGAAUUAAGCUUUUACAUUGCAAUCCGAUAUAGAUUGUAUUUGGGUAGUCAAGAAUCCAAUAGAUUGCUUGAGUACUAGCGAAAUACCAUACUACCUCCUACAACCAGAUGCCCGACGCAUUUUCAAGCAAGAUAGCAUGUAAUACAACAUAAGUGGUGAACCCAACGUGAAAGCUUGAGGUGGAAGGUAUUGGAUUUCGUUUGAUUUUAUUUUUAUGGAGAACGAAAAUAAAAAUUUUGAAGGAUCUUUGGGAGAAGUUUCUGGCGGGGAUUCUUCUAAAGGACAAGGUAUGCACAUGGAUCCAUCUAUUGCUAGUAUGUUUCAAGCCUUUUCAUUAUCAAUGCAGCAACAACAAAGAAAUGAUUGAAAAGAAGCUUUGGCAACCAAAGCAUUGCAAGCAGUGGUCAAUAAAAUUGAUCAAUUUGAUGGAAGGAAUAUUUCAAGGUAUAUUUAUUUGAACUUGCCACGAUACCGGAGAUAAGAGACCAUAUUACAUCGAUUACGGAUCGUUAUGGAAAUUCAUAGAAGGUUUUUUCACAUGCAUUGAAAGACGAAUAUUUCUUGAAAGAUGUUGAUCGCGUUAUUAAGAAGCUGUUUCUGGAAUAGAUUGAACGGCCUAAUAAGAAUUUACAAGCAACAGAGCUACUAAGGAAAUUUGAGAGGCAGUACUCUCAAUUAUCGAAGGUAGAAAAAUUGACAUUGGAGCUGAACAAAGUUGAUCUAUUUCUUCAAGCUACUAAUAGAGAAUUGCAAGGAAAAUUAGAACUCUUUCUUGAAGAUAAAGAAGAAGAUGAAGGAUUGACAACAAAGUAAAAGAAUGUUGAAGAUGCGGUGGAGUUGCUUGCAAAAAAAGAAAGGAGGAAGGAUAGGAGCAAUAUUCCGAAAACAAUACAAGCACUCAAAGCUCCAGUACGUACAACACCACCAACAAUGCCUACAGUUCAACCUUCGACAUCCUUAUCAAAGAAAGAAGAUAUGGAGAUGGAAGAAAUUAUACGAGGAAUGCGAGAUCUUCAAAUCAAAUUGGCAAGACUUGAAGAGAAUACUUCUACAAACAAUUUGAAGAAUGUUUCAAAACAAGGAUAUGUACAAAGAUGCAUUUGGUGUGAUGACGCUUCACACACUAAGAAAGAUUACAAUGAAUUUAAUAAUAUGAUACGGCAAGGAAUUAUUUGCUGGAAAGAUGGGAAGAUAGCAUUAAAAGAUAGGGAGGAUCUUCUUCAAACCAAUUUUGGUAAGGGAGGAAUGAGAGCAUUGGUUCAAGAUUACUUAAAAGAGCAUGAAACAACAGCACGAGAAAGUGCAAGUUAUGGUGCUAGAGUAGAUGAUGACCUUGGUGGAAGUACGGAAACUAGUGAGUUUUGGGCUUCUGCCAUUUCUACAAUGCAAGAAGGGAAAUUACCUCAAGAAGAGUUAUUGAGGACUGCAGCUACAAUACGAGGUACAACAGGUUGGGAGGAUCCUGUUGAGUCUCUUUCAGUUCAUGCAUAUAUUGCUAAGAGCCAACAUGAAGCUUUGAUGGAAGAAAAGAGACGAGAAAAUUUUGAUGAUACGAGAGAAGGAAAUUCUUCUAAGAGACAAACUCGAGGAGACAAGGCUCGGAAGGCAGCUUCACAAGAAUUGCCUGUAAAGGAUACCUCAACAUCAUUGAAAGAAAAAAUAAGGGAGACAAAAGAUAAGGGCAAAUCAAUUGCUUAUAAGCUACUUUUUGACAUUGAAGCGGUAACAAAUUUGAAAGGGGUAUUAGAAGAACGUAUAUUAAAUGCUAAGGUGGAAUUCACAUUGAAAGAAGUUUUGGAAAUUGUAAAGAAGGAGUUUCAUGAUGUUAUCAUUGACAGCAUUAAGCGAAAGAGGCAAUUAAUGGACGAAACUGGAAUGAGUCAUGCUAUUGAUGCAAGAAUAUAUAAAGAUGAAGAAGAGGUUGAUAUUGGUUACAAGCAACCAACAAAUGAAAAGAAUGGAUAUAAUCAACGAGUAUGUUUUAAAGAUUAUAGUGAUAAGGAAAUAGAAACUUUGAGCCAUUAUACUUGAAAGCAUUGGGCAAGGGCAACUAUUGAGGUAUUGAUGAAAGUAGGAGAUAUAGAAGAACCAAUUGUUGCUUUAGUCGACCAUGAUUCUGAAAUAAAUCUCAUGUCUAAAGAUCUUUAUAAGAAGCAAAAAUGGCCAAUUGAUAUGGAACAUGGAUGGGCAAUACGAGCAGCUAAUAACACAUGGGACGAAUUAUAUAGAGCUUGUCUAGAUGUCAAAAUUUGGAUUGGGGAUGUUGUGACGGAGCAACAUUUCUUUGUUCAAGAUACAACGUCUUAUCCGUUGAUUUUAGGACAACCUUAUAUUACGGUAACACAGAUGGAAACAAAAGUACUUGACGAUGGUUCUGCUUAUGCAAGGGUACGUAGCGAAGAUAGAAGGAAAGUUGUAUAAUUUCUAACAGUACCUCCUAACCAUGAACGGAAUCGAGAUAGGUUGAGGGAGAAACCAUUGCCAAAGAUUGUUGAAGGAUUAAAGGAUUUUGGAGAGGUACCACUAUAAAGCGAGAUUAUGGAGGUACAAAAGAGGAGGUACUCUCGCGAGAUAAAGGUGCCUUUGAUGCGAGUUUUAUUGGUAUAUUGGAGAAUGGAAAUAUUAUGUAUAAGAAAGUUGAUGAUUUUAAAAGAAAAGAAAGAAAAAGAUUAUAUAAUAUUGAAGGAGAAUUACGCAAGUUAGGUAUAUUACAAGAUGAUGAGAGGAUUUAAGGUGUUUAUGAAGAAAAUAGAUUGGAAGAUUCAUUGAAAUUGAUUACAUCUAUUGGGUUAGGAGAUAAUGAUAAGAUUGUUGAGAUUCAUUCAAGAGCAGUUUAUACCAUACUUGAAUCUUUUCAAGCACCAGAAGUCACUAUAGAGACGAGAUAUAAAACGGCAAAUAAGAAGGUAAAGCCUGUUGCCGGACCAUUACCAGAAGAUUUUAAAGAACAAAUGGAAGAAGCAUCAAAAGAAGCAAGUUUAAGAGAUCCAAUGAGUAUUGAACAUCAGUUUACUAAAGAGACUUUUGAAGAAUUGAAGAUUGGUUUUGAUGGUUAUUUAUUGCCGGAGGAAAUUACUUGCUUCAAAAAGAUGUUGGCUAAACAAGGUAGAUCUUUUGCCUUCGAAUCUUAUGAAAUUGGGUGUGUGGAUCCGAAUAUUAUAACACCUAUGGUUAUCUUCACUGUAUUACAUGUACUUUGGAAUCUAAGACGGAUUCCAAUACCAAGGGCACAUUUACCUAAAUUGGUGGAACUAUUAAAAUAAAAGAUGAAGAUGAAAAUAUUGAAACCCUCAUUUGCGCUGUAUUCUAGUCAAUGGUUUAUGGUACCUAAGAAGAAUGGGUCACUACGGUUUAUUCAAGAUAUGCAACCGGUGAAUGCUGUAACUGUCAGGAAUGCAAGAAUUGGACCUAUUGUGGAUGAAUUUGUUGAGACGUUUGCGGGAAGGGCGAUCUAUUCAAUGGGUGACUUGUAUUCAGGUUAUGAUCAAUUUCAACUUUCCGAAGGAAGUAGAGAUAUGACAACAAUGAGGACACCACUUGGAUUGGUUAGAAUGUGCACUCUUCCUCAAGGCGCGACCAACUCAGUUGCGCAUAUGAUGAAUGGGAUGAAUAAGGUAUUGAAAGAUUUUAUUCCGAAAAAAACUAUGCCUUUUUUGGAUGAUGUUCCUAUAAAAGGGUGCAGAGAAGGAGACAAGGAUGAAACUUUAGAUAAGAGGGGGUGUCACAAAUAUGUUGUUGAUCAUAUACAAGAUUGUGAAAAGAUUUUAACUCGGCUUGGAGAAGUUCAUCUUACAUUAUCGAGUAUGAAGUCCGUAUUUGGAGUACAAGAGGUUGUGAUUGUUGGACAUUUAUGUGGAUCUUACGGAAGAAAACCAGAUCCGACUAAAGUUGAUGCAAUUAGAAGGAUGAAAGAAGAUUGUGAUUUUUUAAUAGAGGUUCGUAGGUUUUUAGGUGCAUGUAUAUUUUAUCGAAUCUAUAUCCCUCAUUAUGCUCACGUAGCGGAUCCAUUAUAUGAAUUGUUAUGCAAGGGCUACGGAUUUAAAUGGGAAGAAAGGCAUAUUCAGGCAAUGCAAAGAUUAAAGAAAUUAUUGAUGUCACCUCCAAUAUUGAGGAAGGUUGAUUAUAAGUGCAAUAGACCAGUGAUUCUUAUUGUGGACGCUAGUCCAAUUGCCAUUGGAUGGACUGUGGGUCAAGAUGAUUCAAAUGGGAAUAGAUUUACAGUUCGAUUUGGGGCUAAAGUUUUAAGUAUUUGUUAGCGUGCAUAUUCGCAAGUCAAAAGAGAACUUUGGGGAGUUGUUUUGGCUAUGAAAGCUGAAAAGGACUAUUUGAUUGGGGCAGUAAUAGUAAUUGAAACAGAUUGCUCGCCAUUGUUUGGAAUGAUUACUAACUGUUCAACGCCAGAUAUUGCAAUGUUGAGAUAGAUUGCUUAUAUUAAGUCACUAAAUCCGGAAUUUAAGCAUGUUACUGGGAAGGACAAUUUAAUAGCAGACAUGCUAUCUUGAGCAAGAUACGAGAGGGAGGACGAAAUGGUUGAAGACAUUGAUGACGUCGGAUUGAAAUUCUAUUUAAUAUGAAAUUUCAACAGGGAAGACAAGCUAAUUCUUGAAGAAUCUUAUGAAGGAGAAUUAUUGGAUAUUGGUCAUUACUUGAAUACCUUGACUAAGGAGGGGAAUUGGUCUACAGAGAAACUCAAACAAAUAAGAAAAAAAGCAUAUGGAUUUUUGCUUCGAGAUGGAUUCUUAUGGAAGAGACCGAAGAAAGGAAUUGGGAUGCCACAACGAGUGAUAGGUAAAAAGGAAGAAAAACUAAAAUUAUUAAAAGAGUUUCAUGAUAGUUUAUGGACAAGGCAUAGAGGAAUCUGGGCUACUUUUGCUAAACUCAAGGAACGAUAUUAGUGAAAAAAUAUAUAUCGAGAUGUGCUCUCAUUUGUAGAGUCAUGUGAAAUCUGUCAAUCGUAUUCUAAUAUCCGACAUCGAGAUGGUGUUUAUCUUACAUAUCCUCUGGCUAUUUAUUUGAAAUGGGUUGUUGAUUUGAUUAUUAUGUCAGUUGGAUUAUGGCAGAUGAGAUAUUUGAUCUUAACUCUUGAAGAUUUAUCAAAUCAAGUAGAAGGAAGAACAUUGAGGACAAAAUUUAUAGAGGAGAUUUGUAGAUUUUUGCUUGAAGAUGUUAUUUGCCGCUACGGAUGCGUAGGAAAAAUCACUGUAGAUCGUGGAGAAUUAAAUGCACAAGAAGCUCGUAAGUUCUUUGAAAGAUGUGGAGUUAAACUAUCACUGACUACUGCUUAUAAUCUGAAAGGGAAUGCAAAAAGUGAACGUGGUCACCCAUCGAUUGUGAAAGCAUUAGUUAAAGCUUGUAUUGGGAAAGUUAGAGAGUGGCCAGGGCUUUUUUCAUUUGCAUUAUGGACUGAUCGAACAACACAUAGUUCGGUGACAGGAUAUAUGCCAGUAGAACUUAUGACAGGUCAAAAACUAAUUAUGUCGAUUGAAGAAAAGGUACUUACUUGGAGUAUGCUACUAUGGGAAGAUGGAUUGACAAGAGAAGAACUUCUGGCUAUUAGGAUUCGACAAUUGGAACAAAGAUCAGAAGAUGUGCAAAUAGCAUUGGAAAGGUUAAAAAGAGCAAGGUUACAAAACAAGGCGUGAUUCGAUAAGCAACAUGGAUUAAGACCUAAAGUAAUUGAAGAAGGUGAUUGAGUACUUGUUUAUGAUAGUAGUCUGGAUAACCAAUAUAGCACUUUACAAAAGUUUUCAAAAUGAUGGUUUAGAUCGUAUGUGGUAACAACUGUUCAUGACAAUGCGACUUAGUCAUUGCGGGAGUUAGAUGGCACAAGGUUAAAAAUACUAAUUGCAGAGAAGGGAGUGAAAAUAUUGAAAUGAAGACAUGCGGUGAUGAAUAUAGAAGACCUUAAUGAAGGUAUAGAGAUUCUGCAGUAAGUAGAUGAAAGUGAUUUGGAUAAUGAAGGUGACGAAGACGAACUGGACAAAGACGUAGAGAAUAUAUUCUAAAUCAAACAACAAUUGGAUAAAUUGGUGCAUACCGGAGGAUACAAAGGUUCAAAGGGGGUAGAUGUUCUGUUGUAAUACGAGUAUACCGUGAAAAUAUAAAGAAAGGGGACUUUUAUUAAUGUUCAGUUACUUUGAAUAUUGGGAGCAACGACCAAUUCCAGUACAAAUACUGAGAGGCUAGGUUCAAUCACCCCGUUACAGUCAGCCGGGGCACACUGAAAUGCUCCGUUCGAUUCCAAUAAUGGGAGUGAGCAGGAAGGGGAAGGACCAAUUCAAUGACGGAUGAGCCUGGUUCGAAGAGCCAAUUGGAUCCAAUUUCAAGAGAUCCAAUCUAGGUCUCACCAAUAUGAGACCUGAAUUGGUCAGGCAAUCCAAUGCGGUCCAAUUUCGGAAACAUCCAGGUUACUACGGGCCUCUUGCCCAAUAUGAGACCUGAAUUGGUCAAGCGACUCAAUGUGGUUCCGAUUACGGGGUUUCGAUUCUGUUUCAAGCUGUCCUGUUCUCUGUGCCAAUUCAGGAAAUGUUGUUUUUGGUAAAAGGAUCUCUUAAAGGUAAAAACAGAGGAGAGAACUCUGACGGUGGAGCCAAUUCCGGAUUCAAGAUGGAAGAUUGAAGAAAUUCAGAGGCUAGGGUUUGAAAGAGGAGAGAAUUAGGAUUAAAGAAGAGGAUAGGUUAAGAAAUGGAAGGGGAGGAGAAUAAGUUUGGAAAGAAGGGUCGGAGAGCGGGCUUCAUGCUUCGUGAAGGGGAAAAAAGACAGAGAAUUGGGUUUUUUUUUUCUUCAUAGGGUUUUGGAAAGAUUGAGGCAAUCGUUGCUGAAGUUAAUGUUGUAAUGGUGAAUCGAGAUUUUUAAUGAAGUGGGUGUGAUUACUCUUGACUGUUUUGUGAAAUCGAAGUUAUGUUUGUGAUUGAAGAAUUAAAAGGGUAUCUAUAGGAUUGAGUAUGCGGAGUAAAUGAAAUUUAUUGGGUUAAUCUAACGAGACAGUCAGUGGAUACAAGAUUGUGAGUAUAAAGCGGUAUCGAAGAUUAACAGUUUGGGUUGUUCGGGGUUCUCUGUAACGUCUAGAGACCUACCGGUUGGGACAAAAAGGAUUUCGGUGAGUAGUCGAAGGACAUCCGUAUAGAUUUACAGUGUAUUCUUGCAAUUGUUUAUAUUCCAACAGUCAAAAAGCGAUAAACUGCUUGAAUAUUAGCGAAUCUUCAUACUACCUUCUACAGCCAAAUGCCCGAUGCAUUCUCGAGUAGGAAAGCGCGUAAUACGACACCAUUUUGGGAAUGUCUUUUUUGUAAAAAGAUCUCUUAAAGGCAAAAUCGGGAGGAAAAAGCAAGGUCAGCUGUUCCAAUUCAGGGAGUUCAAGGCGAAAGAAUAGGAUCUUCUGAGGAUAAAAGGGGAGGGUAUGUUAAGAAAUGGAUUUUUUUUUGAGAAUCGAGUUUUUUAGGUCGGAGAGCUAGCUUCAUGCUUUUGGAAAAAAGACGAAGAAUUGGAGGUUUUUUUUUAUAUAGGGUUUUGGGGAGACUGAGAGGAGGAUUGCUGAAAGUCAAUGAUAUAUUAGUGAACAGGAUUUUUUCGGAAGGGAGAAAAGGCUGGUACUCUUGAUUGUUGAUGGAAUGGGAGAUACUUCUGUGGUUAAAAUACAGAGUUGUCUAGAAGGUUGAGUAUAUUGAAUGCAUGUGUGGUUGUGUUACUCUGACUGUACAGAUAGAGAAUAUCUGCCAAUAGUUUAAAGAGGUAUUGGGAGUUGGAAAAUUAGAGGUUGUUUAAGAUUUCUGUGAUAACUGGGGACCUACCGACAGGGAAAAGAGGAGUAUCGGCGAGGGCCAAGGGACAUCGGUGCGGAUUGUAACAUAGCCUCACAAUCUGUAAGCGGGUUUAAACUGGAACUUCUUGAGCAUUCGAAAGGGCUUGUAGAGACAUUAGCGAUAGAUAUUUCACAACAAGUCACAAGGAGAGAUUAAGGAUCAUAGCUUGUUAAAGUUCACGGUCUAAGAUUAAGAUAAUUAACGAUAAAGAUAAAAUAAAAAACAUAAAAUAAAUAAAAUAAAAUAAAAAUAACAAAAGAGAUUGAAGUUAUAUAGAGUCUUUAGGCAUUUUAUAUUGGAAUUAAGUUUUUACAUUGUAAUCCGAUAUAGAUUGUAUUUGGGUAAACAAGAACCCAAUAGACUGCUUGAAUACUAGCGAAAUACCAUACUACCUCCUACAGCCAGAUGCCCGGCGCUAUCGUGUUGUAACACGAGUAUACUAUGAAAAUAUAUAGGAAGAGGAUUUUUAUUAAUGUUCAGUUACCUCGAAUAUUGGGAGCAACAAUCAAUUCCAGUGCGAAUACUGAGAGGCUAGGUUUAGUCAUCCCGUUACAAUGAGCCGGGGCAUACUGAAAUGCUCAGUUCAAUUCCAAUAACAGGAGUCAGUAGGAAGGGAAAGGACCAAUUCACACGAUGGGUGAGCCUGGUUCGAAGAGCCAAUUGGAUCCAAUUUCAAGAAUCCAAUCCGGGUUUUCUUACCCAAUAUGAGACCUGAAUUAGUCGGGCAACCCAAUGCAGUCUAAUUAUGAGAAAAAUCCAGGUCUUACUACGGGCCUCAGCCAAUCUAACGCGAAGGACCAAAUUGAUCCAAUUUCGAGAACAUCCGAGUCUUACUACUGGACUCUUAUCCAAUAUGAGACCUGAAUUGGUCGGGCAACUCAAUGUGGUUCCAAUUAUGGGGUUUCGAUUCUGUUUCAGGUUAUCCUGUUCUCUGUGCCAUUUCAAGGAACGUUGUUUUUGGUAAAAAGAUCUCUUAAAGGUAAAAAUAGAGGAGAAAGCUCUGAUGACGAGAGCCAAAUCCGGAUCCAAGACAGAAGAAUAAAGAAAUUUAGAAGCUAGGGUUUGAAAGAGGGGAGAAUUAGGGUUAAAGGGGAGGAAGGUUAAGAGAUGGGGGGGUUUUUUCAGUGGGGUUUUUUUCAGUGGGGGUUUUUUCAGUGGGGUUUUUUUUUAGAUCGGGUUUUUGGAUCGAAGAGCUAGCUUCAAGUUCUUUUCAAGGUCACUAGGUUGGUUUCAUUAGGGGUUUUUGGAUCAAAGAGCUAGCUUCAAGCUCUUUUCAAGGUCACUAGUUUGGUUUCAUUAGGAUUUGUGAGGGGAGAACAAUCGCUGCUCAAAGUUAGUGUUUAUUUUGGUGUUUCGGAUUUUAUAUAAAACAUUGAUGGUUCGCAUUCUCAAUCGGUUUGUGCAAGUUGUGUAGCAUCUAUGGACCAAAAUUUGGUAUUGUCUGGAUAAUUGGGUGUGCUAAGUGUAUACAAAAAUUUGUGUUAAUCUAACAAUGCAAUCAAGAGAUAUCUGGGUUUUAGUACAAAGGGUUGUCGGAAGUUGGCAGUCUAGGGUUGGAUAGGGUUUCUGUGAUAUCUGAAGAUCUACUAGUUGGGUCGACGUAAAUUUUGGCUUGGUAAUAGAAGAUUUGGAGAUCAAGCGGCUAUUCAAUUUUGAGCUGGAGUUAAGGGUUGACAAAGGAGAAAUCACUUCUGGAGUUUCUACAUCAAAUUUCAAGGUUACGGCCGAGUGUCAUCAGUGCGGUUUUUGGACGUUUUCUUGCAAUCUGUAAGUUGGGUUGGGCUGAAAUUUUUUGAGCAUAUAGAAGGCUUAUACUGGUAUUUGGGUGCAAAAUUUCACACUAAGUGGACAAUUGGAUCAAAAGUUACAGCUUGUCAAAGCUCACUGGCUAGGGUUAGGGCUUGUUAAGAAAAACGAAAACAACUUAAUUAUAAAAGAAAUAAAGCAAUUAGAAUAUUGUAUAGUUAAAAUGACUAUGAGGAGUGUUUUUAAAUACUUGGAAAUUGAUAUUUCAAUUAUAUACUUCAUACAUGGAUAAAAUCUAUUAGGGUUUCUUUGUUAUUUGCAAAAACAACUAUACCUUCUACAGCCAGAUACCUAGUGUAUUCCCGAACAAGACAACACGUAAUACGACAGCGCGUUCUCAAGCAAGAUAGCACGUAAUACGACACAGUGUAUACGGUAUUGUGAUGUAACAUGGCUAACAAGUGAAAAGUUAAAAAAAAUAUCAUGUUUUGAGGAUCUCACUUCAAAAAUAUUGUAGCAAAUUAUCUUGGAAUAAUAGAUAUUAGUCAAAGGAUAGAAAAAUUAAAGGUGCUAAUACUACCUUUUUACAAAUUAGGCUUCUAUUUACUUUGUAAGGCCAUAAAUAAGACAAAAUAAGGUAGAUUAGAAAAAUAAAGGAUAUAGGCAUAUGUAGGGAGGAGUUAGGAGUGCAAAUUAGUAAAAAUUACCUCAAGAAGAUGAAAGUUGAUACCCAAAGAGGACCGGUUAUGAACAUGGGUCGAAAUCAGAUCCCAAGGCACAAAACUAUGCUCUGAUAGAGAUUCAAGGAUUCUUUGGAUAGAUUAAAGAAUCGAAUUAGGAAGCAAACUUGUAGAGGGAUUUUUGAGAGAUGAUUUCGUAUCGUUUGGAUUAGUAUUGGAUUUUUGAGGGAUUUUCAAAGCGAGAGAUGUUCUCUGUGAAUUUAGAUCUUUGAGAAAUAUAACCGGUUUACAAAUUUUUGGAUUUCGUGACUUUUGUAGCAUUUUUAAGGGUGAAAAUUUAGAAACUUAUUGGUAUACUUAUUAUAAAUGUGUAUAAGAGAUUUGAGAUGAAUCGAAUAUCUAGAUUGAUAUAUAUGAAGGUUUUUAUGGACUAAGGUCUCAAGAUUUAGGGAUUUGAAGACUAGUAAGUUUUUCUUAGAUAUCUAGCAAUCUGCUAGUUGAAUUGGAGAGAUUUUUGGUUUUAUCAGUAGAAGACUUAAUUUCCUAAAUGCAAGUAAAAUUUGGAAGUAAUUGAAUAAUGUAAGAAGGAGAUAUUGGCAUUGGAAGUUUGGCAUCAGAUUGGAGAAGGAGAGACAGGCCGACAUUUGAGCAGAAUUUUGAGGUCAUCAACUAAUUGAUAAGUGCGAUUUUCUUCAAAAUUUGUGUGCUGGUUGUUAACUUGAACUCCAAGAAGUAUAAAAAUUUUGAAUUAGAAUCAAUGGUUCAAUCUUUAGUUAUUUAAACUUCAAAUCUAUAAUUAGGAUUUGAUUUGGAUUAGGAUUUGGUUUAGGAUUUAGGGUUUGGUUAGGGUUAGUAUUUGAUUAGGUUUUAGAGUUAGGGUUUGAUUAGGAUUUGACUAGAAUUUGUUUAGGAUUUGGAAUUGAUUAGAAUUUGUUAGGAUUAAGAUUUGUCUAAGAUUUGACUAGGAUAUGUUUAGGAUUUAGGGUUUGUCUAGGAUUUGAUUAAGAUUGGAUUAAGAUUAGAAUUUGAUUAGAAUUUAAGGUUUAUUUAGAUUUUUGUUAAGGUUUGACUAAGUUUUUUUUAAUAUUCUUUUAUAUUUCUUUAAGAUUUCCUUGUGUUUCUUUUAUAACUUCAAUAAAAUUUAAUUGAGCUUACUUAAUGUUUGAUUAUGAUUGUUAACAUUUAAUUAUAAUUUUUCUAUAAUCCUAUUGGAUUGUUAGGACAUUUUGUUGUAAUUUUCUUUUACCUUCCACAGCCAAGUGCCUAGUGCAUUCUCAAACAAGACUUCACGUAAUAUGACAAUGGAUCAUAAGAACUUUAAAUAUUUUAUGUUAAUAUGUAUUUUGAAUCGUUGCCAAGCCUGUUGGAGUAUAUCUAUGUCAAGAUUCGAAUUCAAGAUCACUUAUCAACGAGGAAAACAACAAUAUUUGUGAGAUGCAUUCUCUAGAAAAACAUACCUUGUACCAAAGGAAGGAGAUGCUGUUUUUGAUCAAUACCAGAUAAUUCUCUUGGAGCUAGAGCAUCUUUAUCUUCAAGCAAUGAAAUUAACACUAAUUGUUGAUUCAACUUUCAUUAAGCAAGUUUAGUCAAGUAUAUCUUCUGAUCUUCUUAUUCGUGGUAUUAAGGGAAAUCCUUCAAAGUCUCAUCAUAUUUCUAAGUUUGAAUUUAAGAAGAAUCUACUAUAUUUUGAAGAACGCCUAUACAUUCUAGAAGGUGAAGCUCGAUUACAUGUUUUGUAAGCUCGUCAUAAAUUUUCAAUAGCAGGACAUUUUGGGUGCAAUAAAACUUUGGAACUAAUAUCCAGGGACUUUUGGUGGCCCCAAAUGUAGAAAGUAGUCAAAGAUUUUGUACAAUCUUAUGAUGUUUGCUCAAGAUUAAAAACUCUUUGUCAUUGAUCUUAUGGACUUUUUGAGCCAUUAUCCAUUUUAGAACAACCAUGGUCUUCUCUUUCUAUAGAUUUCAUCACGGAUCUUCCAAUCUCAGGUUCUUAUGACUCUAUAUUUGUGAUAGUAGAUUAUUUUACAAAGAUGGCAUAUUUUGUACUAUGUACAAAAAUCCAUCACAUAUAAAGAAACAACUAAGCUCUUUCUUGAUAAUAUCUAUCUCUAUCAUAGAUUAUCCAAAGAUAUUAUAUCAAAUAGGAGAACUCAAUUUGUAUCAAGAUUUUGGCAGACUCUUUUCAAGAUUCUAAAAGUGGAUAUAAAACUAUCUUCGCCAUUCCAUCCUCAAACUGAUGGAAAAACAGAGUGUGUUAAUCAAGUUGUGGAGUAGUAUUUAAGAUGUACUAUUAACUACCAAUAAGAUGAUUGGACAACUCUUUUGCCAUUGGCAGAGUUUGCUUAUAAUAACAUGAUACAUUCUUCUACAAAAUAAACACCUUUCUUUGCCAAUUAUGGUUAUCAUCCAUGACUUGAUACUUUUGACUUUUCAAAAGUUGAUAAUCAUGUUGCAAAAGAUUUGGUAAUUCAUUUCUUAAAGCUACAUGCAACGAUGAAGGUACAAUUAAAAGAAACUCAAGAACAUCAAAAGAUCAAUGCGGAUGUCUAUCGAAAGGAACAACCACCAUUCCACAUCGAUGACAAGAUAUGGUUAUUUCAUUGUAAUAUCAAGACCACUUAUUUUUGUGACAAGUUGGACUAUUGAAGGCUUGGACCAUUUUCUAUUUCUGUACAAAUCAAUCCAGUUGCAUAUCAUUUAUACCUACUAGAGUCAAUGAAAAUCCAUCCAGUAUUCCAUGUCUCUCUUCUUGAACCAUACAAGAUAAUGGACAUACCAAGAAAAAGACAAGCUCUACCUCCUCCUAUAGAAGUAGAUAAUAAUGAAGAGUUCGAAGUGGAAGAAGUCUUAGAUUCAAGGCGAUGCCAAAAUAAAUUAGAAUGUCUUAUCCAUUGGCAUGGAUAUGAUGUUAGUGAAUGCAUAUGAAAGCUAGUAAAGAAUCUUGCAAAUGCAGUAAAGGCGGUGGAGGCUUUUCAUCGACGACAUCCAUCAAAAUGAAGAUAAAAACCUUCUUUAUCAAAGAAACAAGAUCUAGGUAAGAUAACAUUCUACUUUCAAUCCUUGUUUGUAGCUUCUUUAUAGUUGUGACGCUGAAGAGAUGGAGAACCAACAACCAAUAGAUUCAACUCAAGAACCUUUGUUUGCUGACUUGUUGGAUGAGACAUUACGAUUGUCACAACUUUUAAGACGAUGUAAUCGAGAUGAAGAUCUUCAAGAAUGACAUAUUCUUUCUCAAAUAGAUGGCAAGAUACAACGCAUUUGGUAGCACGACCUUGGAAGGGACUCUUGAUGUUUGGUGAUUUUACUAGAGGUUGGAACAACUCUUGAUAGUGUUUCAAAUGAUUUAUUUGAAGGAAGUUAUAAAGGCCUCAAUAAUGAUCAAAUAACUGGGUCGUCUUUCUGCCCUGGUAUAGCACACUAUCGAUGGUUGAGAGGCCAUAUCAAUCAUCUUCGAAGAGAACAUAGAUCACAUUAUGUGGCAAAUAUAAUUCGUUGCAUUAUAGAUUUCCUCAACAUAUGAUGACCGCUUCUCGUGGAACUUGUCUUUAGAAGGGCAGGUAAUGUCACGGACAUAUAUAUGUAAGCCAAUAAUUACAUGUAUAAAUAGGUAGAAGUAAGUAAAAGUAGAUAAAAAUAAGUUAAUUCUAUAAUAUUUACUAUAGUAGCUUCCUAGAAGCUUUAUAGAUGCUUCUUUGACUUUAUAGGUGUCUUUAAUUGAUUUUUUGGAUUAAAAAUGUAGUCAACAAGUUUGCCAUGUACCACACAUGUUGUUAGCUUGAAGACCAAAUUAACUAUAUGGUCCACAUGUAGAAAAACUUACCUUGUAAGUCAAGGCAUGUGUCUUACAAAGUCAAUACACAUUGGAGGUCCUAUUGAACAUAGCCAUGUAGCCCUUACUUAGAUAGUAUAUAUAGAGAUAAGAGUGAAGUCUUCUUCACUCUUGUAAACUCUUUUCUUACUUCUAGUUUAGUUUCAAGGGUCUUUAGUUUUCUUGACUUUUGGCAAUAGCCAUUUCAAUUUAUUUUUUAAUAUAUAUAUUAAAUUAUUUCUAUUUUUUCAUCUUUCUUUGAAAAAAGUUUUACUUUUUUAUUUGUUUUUAUCAAGUUCUUGUCUUUGACAAUACCUUAUAAAUGAUCAAGAGGAUGUAUUGAAAAAGACAUAUGAAAAAGAAAUCUUGAGGUUGAUUGAUACCUAUAUCUUAAGAAAGAAGUUCAAGGUGAGAAAGCUAAGAUAUGAUAUUAUCCUUGGUAUGCCAUGGCUAAAAAAGAUAAUUAUACAAGUUGAUUAGAUAACAAGAACAAUCUCAUUUAAAGUUGGCGGACGUAAAGUGACUCUUAACACCUCCGCAUGAAGUGAAGAGGUAAGAUAAUUUGUAACCAAAGACUUACUUGUAAGAACUACUUUUAUAAAGAAGCAAAUAUAGCAUAAGUAAUUAGUAUACAUGGUAGUUCUAAAUUUUGCAUCAAUAGUAGGAAAGACAACUAAAGGAGUAGAAUGGGCAAAUCAACUUAUACGAUAAUAUUAGAAUAUCUUUCUAAUUGACCUAUCUAGUGGCAUGUCUCUUGAUCGAGGUGCCCCCUUUCAAAUAGAAUUAUUUCUUAGAAUCAAACAAGUAAGCCAAUCAAUUUAUUGCCUAGCAUCAAAAGAACUUGAAAAACUACAAAAGAUAUUAAAAAAACUCUUAGAAAAAGACCUCAUUUAAGAAAGAACAUCUUUAUGGGGAGUACUUGUACUCUUUGCACUCAAGAAGGAUGGUGGAUUCAGCCUUUGCAUCAACUAUUGAGGCCUCAAUAAGCAAAUUAUUAAAAUUGUAUAUUUACUUCAAUGCAUGGAUGAUCUUUUUGACCAAGGUAGAAGUGCAACCAACUUUAGUAAAUUGGAUAUUCAGAGUGGCUAUUAGCAAACAUCUAUUGCAAGAAAGGAUGUAGAAAAGAUGAUAUUUUGUAUACACUAUGGACAUUUCAAAUAGUUGGUUUUACUUUUUGGCCUUAUUAAUGCUCCAACAUCUUUCAUGGAUUAUAUGAAUAGAUUAUUUUAAGAUCUUUUGGACAAAUAUAUAAUUAUCUUCAUUGAUGGUAUUCUUAUAUAUAAUAGAAUCUUUAAAGAAUAUGAGCAAUACCUAUGAGAAGUCAUGCGCCAGUUAUAAGAUAGUUAUUUUUAUUAUAAACAAUCAAAAUAUGAACUUUAGAAGUCAGAAGUCACCUUUUGGAAUAUGUCAUAUCCUCCAAAGGCAUGCGUAUAGAGAAAGAUAAGGUGAAAGUGAUAGAGGAUUGACCAAAUCUCAAAGAUGCUAUUAAAGACUGCUCAUUUUUAGGCCUUGUUGGAUAUUACCACCAUUAUGUUUGACGAUUUGUACAUAUUAUUGCCUCAUUGAGAAACCUAUUAGAUAAGAGUGUCUCCUUUGAAUGGAAAUUGGAGUAACAAAGUACCUUUGAUAGAUUGAAGGAGGUACUCAUUAUUGCUCCAAUAUUGUAACCGUAUGAUCUUAACCUUCUUUGUAUGCUUGACAUUAAAGUUUCUAACUUUGCUAUUGGAGUGAUUUUUCAACAAGACUUUGGUAGGAACCUUCAAUAUAU